UUCUGCCUGUGGAGCUAGGGGUCCC
This 25-nucleotide non-coding RNA is filed under the name Mus musculus (house mouse). Lineage: Eukaryota; Metazoa; Chordata; Mammalia; Rodentia; Muridae. The record is from RNAcentral.